UAUUUUUGAUGUCAAAACCUCUUGAACUGCAGUAGGAGCAAAAAUAGUCAGAAUCAGUGGUAUUUGGGAUGAAACUUUUUGAGUGCAGCAUACUUCUUAGUAGCCAGUGGGAUAAUGAUAGCAGAUCAUAUUUUUUCUUAGGAGCAAAAGAGGUCUUCUGGCUUGCGUUAAGAAAUGAGAAGUGAUCAAAUACUGGACCAGAUAAUUACCCAGGAAUGCGAGAGCCCAAGACCCGGGCCUCUGUGGUGAGCACCAUGCGAUGUCCAAGUCCCAGCUCGUGGCCAGACACCUACCCGAUACCAUCCUUGGCUGCUUCGCUUCUGGGCUGCUGUUUGUCUCAGUGCUAGUGCUCCCGAAGGCCUGUUAAAUAUUUCACGCAUAUUUACUUCCUCAUUCUAAAGUUGUUGUGUCAUUGUGUUUUUUGUUUUCUUAUCAUGCUCCUUUAUGUUUUGGGUUGGUUUAAUCCACCAUGAAUCCUUGUUGCGUCCAGACCUAAGGCUCUGGAUUUCCGCAGCUCAGAAACCUGUGACAAAUGCACUGACACCAGUUUUUUUUGACUGAAAUGCAAAGAGAGAAAAAGAAAUUGUGCAAUGAAGCAUCUAAAAUAGACGAAAGGAAGUAUGUUUUACACAAUGCGCUGUUAUCAUGUGUGUUUUUAUUGAUGAGACUCAUUACAGUGAGAUAUUGUUGAAGCCAAGGGUUCAUUAGGAUUUAAGAUGGUUUGAAGUCUCUGCGGGUAAAAAGACCAUCCCCUGUAAUAUUAGGUAGAAUGAAAAAUGAUGAGAUGCAAGCCCUUUUGCUACAAAGUAUAAAUUGUCCACAAUUUGAUGAGCAGCUAAGAGGAAAAUGCCAUUUAUAGACAAUUUAUUUAAUCAUUUCCCCCCUUUUUUGUGCAGUAAGGCUCACUUUGGAGAUAUAAUAUUAUCUCCUGAAUUUAUCUCCAGCUUAACUAAUCGUUUGGAUAAUACAUUAUUUUGGUAUAUUUUAUUUCAGGUUAUUCUAUUUUUUUAUCUCCAUUUGUCUCCACUCAUACAUUUCUUUCUGCUCCUCAUCACUGCAGUAGUUGAGUGCGCUUCAAAUAAAAAUGAUAAUCAUAGCAGAGUUUCUAGCAGAGCUCAUGUUUGUUGCUGCUUUUUGUGGAUUUUGGUUUGCUUUUAAGGAGGGCAAGUGAGAAAUAUCAUGGUGAUGUGGAUGCCAGUUCACUUACAUGGUUGUGUUUUCUCCAAAAGGAGGUGCUGGAAUUGGUCUCUGGAAAGAUGUUGAUGUUUUGUUUCCCUGAUCUCCUCUGUAACAGCUUCCACCACGGAGCUGUUAUUAAUGUGUGUUUAAUCCUGUGUUUUUCAGAAACACAACACAAGGGGAUACAGCAAAUGAAGGGGGGUUGCUGCCCAGCUCCCUUGGCCUCCGUGCAUCUUCUGGUCUAACCCAUCUACCUCCGUUCCCCCGCCUUCCCCCCCGCCUUAGCGCUCGUAGACAAGGCAAUAUUGCACCGCUUACCCCCGUUUGGAGACUCCGGGAGAAAGCGCAGGAGCUGCCUGUUCAGAAUCGCUUGUUGUCUGCAGGUUGUUUUCAGAGUACAUUAAAACAGCUCCAUCUGCUUGCUGCAGUAAAAGUCCCCGGGUUGCCCGUAUGCCAGCCGUCAGGCCCUGCUAAUCUGGGAUCAAUGUGCUGCUGCUCGUCGGGUAUCUCAGCGUAUGCUCAGGCAGAGCACACCGGGAGAGGCGGCAGUGACUGAUGCGGAUGGAAAGAGAGAGAUGCUGCUAUUCGGGUGCUGAACUUGGCCUGCGGAAAGAAGAAAAGGAAAACAUAUUCUGUUUGCAGGGGAGGGCGGUUUGCACCUGAGCGUGAUGUCUUGCAGGAUCAUGCUCAUAUCUUCAUCAUUUCUUCCUAAUGAGUGUGCUCACGUGGGCAAAGUAUUUGGACUGAAAUCAGGAUUUUUUUCCUCUGUGAAAGUUCAAAAAAAACACUGUCCUGUAAAUCAGGUCUAGAGCACUCUGCUUGAAGUUUUGGUUCAUUUUCAGGUCUCUCCUGAUACAACAUAACGCCCCUAGGCACAGGGAAUUCCCACCCAGAGACGGAGAGCAUUUCUGUGUCCGUCUGGAGCACGCGUGGGUAUAUACCUGCGUUUGCAUUCUGCCUGGCAGCAAGUCUGUCCUUCCUCACCUAGAGCCUGGACACAUCUCAGAAUGAUAUUUGUGCAAAUUCAGAUGGUUUGCCCCUGGAAACAAUGUCGAAUAUACAAGUUGAGUUUGGGGAAAAGAUAAGCAUGUGUUCAGGAGACCAACUCCCGUUCACAUUACUCAUGAAGUUCAAUGAGUCACUAUUCAGCGAAAGCAAGCAAAGUGCUGAGGAUGACACUGUUCUGGGACCCAGCAAAACACACUGAUGAAAGGAUGUAAGCGGUCAUUGGCAAAGCAGAAUUUCCCCAGAGGCUGGUGACCAUUUCUCUUGGAUGGAUAUACACUGGACAGGUACGAUUAACUAAGCAUUAAAAUCUGAAGCUAGAACAAGGAUUCCUCUUUCAGAUCCUCUGCAAAAAGCAAACAUCAAGG
This is a long non-coding RNA of Dromaius novaehollandiae (emu), 2552 nucleotides long. RefSeq lists it as uncharacterized. NCBI's taxonomy places the organism in Eukaryota, Metazoa, Chordata, Aves, Casuariiformes, Dromaiidae. The transcript has 3 exons. The record is from RefSeq and is a predicted model, not a curated record.